GCCGGUAUCCGGGGACGCGGUGGCUGCAGGGCUGGCCCUGGUCCCAGCCCGGCAACAACGAAUUGGGCACCGGCGGGGAGCAGGCAGGGCUUAGGGGACACGUCGACAGCACGUGUAGGGACUGCACACAAUAUGUGGAGUCAACAAAGGGAUUGAAGCGCGCGCAUCGCAUUUUUCCCCUUUCUCAGAUGGAAACGUUUCGGUAUUUGCCCACAGAUUUUCCGACUGAAAUGUGACUUUCAUAGUGCCGACGGGGUCGGCAGUGGGUACAGCACUGUCUCAGCCGCUGCUGCCCUGUGGGAGUGCACACAAUGCUGGUGCCAGCUCUCAUGAUACUCUCUCUAGUCCCGAGAUAGCUGGCAUUUUUGGGAAGCUGCGCUGCCUUUCGUUUAAAAUACACCUCCUGGUUGUGUGGAUGUGAUGAAUGUGACCUGAGAUUACCCUGAAGACUGCACAGUGAAACAACAGGCAUUUAGACCUAAAAAAACAUCAAGAUCCUGAGGCGUGCUGCGUGACUUUCAGCGGUGUGAAGCAGGACCUCAGCAGCAAUGUGCUUCCUUCUGUAGGGAAAGCCGCCUGGAUUCUCUUUGCAUACAGGGAGUGCUCGUCGUGGCAGGGCUGGCCUUGCUGUUGCCAUCUCUGGGUGGGCUGCUGCUGUGUUUCCAGCAAGGCAGUGGAGAGAAUUAAAAGCCUGAGUGAGCAGAGCAGCCAGGAAGCAUCAGCGGUGCCUCUGUCAACACUGCAGCCGAGGAAGGCAGGCAGCUCCUUAAUUAUUGAUUGCACUUAUAAAUAAAUGCUGGGACAGGGAAGAGAAGGUUA
Non-coding RNA from Phasianus colchicus (ring-necked pheasant), 819 nucleotides. NCBI's taxonomy places the organism in Eukaryota, Metazoa, Chordata, Aves, Galliformes, Phasianidae. The record is from RefSeq and is a predicted model, not a curated record.